Molecule: transfer RNA, 77 nt
Filed under: Cohaesibacter sp. ES.047
Lineage: Bacteria; Pseudomonadati; Pseudomonadota; Alphaproteobacteria; Hyphomicrobiales; Cohaesibacteraceae
Also listed under: 9 other names
Description: tRNA_Met_CAT
Rfam family: tRNA
About the family: Transfer RNA (tRNA) molecules are approximately 80 nucleotides in length. Their secondary structure includes four short double-helical elements and three loops (D, anti-codon, and T loops). Further hydrogen bonds mediate the characteristic L-shaped molecular structure. tRNAs have two regions of fundamental functional importance: the anti-codon, which is responsible for specific mRNA codon recognition, and the 3' end, to which the tRNAs corresponding amino acid is attached (by aminoacyl-tRNA synthetases). tRNAs cope with the degeneracy of the genetic code in two manners: having more than one tRNA (with a specific anti-codon) for a particular amino acid; and 'wobble' base-pairing, i.e. permitting non-standard base-pairing at the 3rd anti-codon position.
Source: RNAcentral
CGCGGGGUGGAGCAGCCCGGUAGCUCGUCAGGCUCAUAACCUGAAGGUCGUAGGUUCGAAUCCUACCCCCGCAACCA